RNAcentral lists this ribosomal RNA (305 nucleotides) under uncultured bacterium. Its description in RNAcentral is "bacterial SSU rRNA". It matches the Rfam family "Bacterial small subunit ribosomal RNA", at positions 334 to 635 of the family's 1533-position model. The record is from RNAcentral.
CGCUCCUACGGGGGGCAGCAGUGAGGAAUAUUGGUCAAUGGGCGGGAGCCUGAACCAGCCAAGUCGCGUGAGGGAAGACGGUCCUAUGGAUUGUAAACCUCUUUAGGCGGGGAGCAAUGCCGGGCACGCGUGUCCGGAGGGAGAGUACCCGCAGAAUAAGCAUCGGCUAACUCCGUGCCAGCAGCCGCGGUAAUACGGAGGAUGCGAGCGUUAUCCGGAUUUACUGGGUGUAAAGGGAGCGUAGACGGAAAGGCAAGUCAGAAGUGAAAACCCAAGGCUCAACCAUGGGACUGCUUUUGAAACUG